This 71-nucleotide transfer RNA is filed under the name Candidatus Wolfebacteria bacterium. RNAcentral describes it as "tRNA-Ala". It matches the Rfam family "tRNA". Rfam says of the family: Transfer RNA (tRNA) molecules are approximately 80 nucleotides in length. Their secondary structure includes four short double-helical elements and three loops (D, anti-codon, and T loops). Further hydrogen bonds mediate the characteristic L-shaped molecular structure. tRNAs have two regions of fundamental functional importance: the anti-codon, which is responsible for specific mRNA codon recognition, and the 3' end, to which the tRNAs corresponding amino acid is attached (by aminoacyl-tRNA synthetases). tRNAs cope with the degeneracy of the genetic code in two manners: having more than one tRNA (with a specific anti-codon) for a particular amino acid; and 'wobble' base-pairing, i.e. permitting non-standard base-pairing at the 3rd anti-codon position. Lineage: Bacteria; Candidatus Wolfeibacteriota. RNAcentral also lists the same sequence under 2 other names. The record is from RNAcentral.
GGGCCUAUAGUUUAGUGGCAAAAUAUCUCAAUGGCAUUGAGAAGUUGGGAGUUCGAUUCUCCCUAGGUCCA